GGGAAUGUGGCUCAGUGGUACAGUGCUUGCCUAGCAUGCAUGAAGCCCCAGGUUUGAUUCCUCAGUACCA
Dipodomys ordii (Ord's kangaroo rat) is the source of this 70-nucleotide non-coding RNA. Lineage: Eukaryota; Metazoa; Chordata; Mammalia; Rodentia; Heteromyidae. The record is from Rfam.